UUUUGUAUCCUGUGCGCGGGCUAGACUGGUAGGAAAUAUGGAAAUUUCCCGAAAACAAACCGAAAAUUAGCCUAUAAAUUGCAGUGCCCGGCGACUUUUUGAAGAUUUCGCCGAUUUUUCGCCUGCAGCCAUUUUUCGGCGAUUUUUCCGCCGAUUUUAAUCGAAAUUUGGCGAAAUUUCUCCCAUCGACAUUUCGCCCCCCUCUUUCGUAUCGCCGGACACCGAAACCCGAAAUUUCGGCCAAAAAAAUGGAAACUUUCAUCCUUGCUUAACAAAGUACAAAAAGGGUCUUAUAAACCCAUUGUGAAAAGGUUAUGUCAAUUGUCAAGCUGUCAUUACUAGGUGGGUAAAGGUAGCUUUCUUUCUUUAUUUCUUUCUUUACUUUGUAGUGGGUAAAGGUUGCUAUCCGCCAUUACCUCGUUUAGUGGUUGCAACAGCAGAUGUGGACAUCCCCUGUUUCUUGGUUGCUGUGCUUUGAACAGCAGACGACUUCAAGCUGCAUGAGAAACCCUCUCGUUUUGCCCUCCUCUCCUCCUAUAAAUAGAGGAGGGAGAGUAACUUCAAUAUUCCACCCAACUACAAUUCAGAAAUUAAAGAAGAAAAAUGCCGAGGGUUGUGCUUCUUGCAUCAGCUCAUUUGCAGUGUGAAGGGUGCGAGAGGCAAGCGACUGUAACACUAGUCCCCGGACAUGGACGCCCACUGAAGGCAGAUGAUUGUACAAAUGUGUCACUGAUGGUUUUUGAUUGCAAUGGAAUCUUCCCGAUGUUACGAAAUCUGGCAGAAGUAUUGCCCUCAAUCUUGUUGAGGGACAAUACAAUGCUGUCGUUGAUGGGGAGUACAUUGAAAUCAACGAGCUGAAAACUAAGUUUGAACCCUAUAACGGGUGACAGGAUGCUUGGUUUUUUUGUUUAGGCGUUUCCGUUGGUUUAGGUUGUUUUUGUUUCUCCUUUUAUAUGUUUUUCUUUCUGUUUACUUCCCAUUUCGGCUCCAUUUGUAAUCCCUUCAGCAUCAUCAAUAUCAAAAGUUUGGUUUCUUACAACAGUUUUUAUAUAAUCAGUAUGAAACGUUUGGUUUGGGUAUAGCAGAAGCUCGAGACUCAGCAAGAGAGCCCUAGUGGAAACGCCUAAACAAAAAACCAAGCAUAUUGUUUCUCCUUUUAUGUUUUUCUUUCUGUUUACUUCCCAUUUCGGCUCCAUUUGUAAUCCAUUAGUAUCAUCAAUAUCAAAAGUUUGGUUUCUUA
Molecule: long non-coding RNA, 1240 nt
Organism: Vitis riparia (riverbank grape)
Lineage: Eukaryota; Viridiplantae; Streptophyta; Magnoliopsida; Vitales; Vitaceae
Exons: 2
Source: RefSeq, a predicted model, not a curated record